Molecule: ribosomal RNA, 313 nt
Filed under: Limnonectes woodworthi (Woodworth's wart frog)
Lineage: Eukaryota; Metazoa; Chordata; Amphibia; Anura; Dicroglossidae
Description: partial 12S ribosomal RNA
Rfam family: Bacterial small subunit ribosomal RNA
Source: RNAcentral
CCAACGGUGUCCCACCCAACUAGAGGAGCCUGUUCUAUAAUCGAUAACCCCCGAUUUACCCAACCCUAUUUUGCCAUCCAGCCUGUAUACCUCCGUCGUAAGCUUACCAUAUGAAUGGUUUAAUGAUCCAUCAAUACGUCAGGUCAAGGUGCAGCUCAUGAUAGGGAAAGAAAUGGGCUACAAUUUCUAAAUUAGAACAUACGAAAUGCUACAUGAAACACAGCCACGAAGGCGGAUUUAGUAGUAAAAGGAGAAUAAUGCGCUCCUUUUAACAAGGCCCUGGGACGUGUACACACCGCCCGUCACCCUCUUA